CAAAGAUGUCUGUUGAAGUUCAUUUUCAUGUAUAAUCAACUUAAUUACAAAACUAUAUAAAACCAUAAAAUCAUAUCAUAAUAAAAUUAUCUAUCUUUAUUUACAGUAACUAUUUAUAUCAUAUUUUAGAAAUUAUUCAAUUAUUUUCGUAUUCGUAUUUAUUUAUAAACAAUAGGUUAUGUUCGUACAUUUUGAGUAUUAUUUCUUCAAUUUUCUACUAACUUGAAUCGAACACCUUAUAUACGUGCUGCUCACGUAUCUGUCUUUAUAUGUGCAUCGUGGAAAUCUACUAUUGGCAAGCAGGCGUAUCGAUAAAAAAUCAUUCUUUCAAAUAUUCCACGAUAUUUGCACAGGCCAAUGUAUCAAAUGCAUUCACCAAAAUUAAAGAAUCACAUGAAAUAGUUUUUAUUAAUGAAAUGUAACAUAUUGCUCGAUUCAGGAAAUUUCUCCGAAAUAUCGAACUUUUGAUAAAAAAAAAAAAAAGGAAACAGCGAUAGCGAAAACCGUUUCAUCGAUCGAUCGUCGUUUAUCAUGCCAGCAUAAACGUGGAGAGACACCAUCUAGGAAGUCAGCGGGUACCAGCAUGACGACAUCAGAUUUGCUUUCCCGUUUCAUUCGAUCGUAAAGCUGCCACGAAGAUUCUCAUGAUUUUUUGCGAAAAAUAUCUUUGUUGCGUACUUUUCGAUCCUGAGAAUACAGUUCUAUUUCCUUCGCCUUCUCUCGCUCCUCGAGAUAUUUCUUCCUCGUUUACGGAUUUAUGGGAAUUGUCUUGUGAUUUAUUCCUCGUGAAGAUUUCUUUUAUUGUCGAAUCUUGAAUCUUUUGACAACAAAAGAUUAUAUGAUCGAUGUAAUUCUCUCAGUGAAAGAUCUCAAUGGAUUUUUCACAAUAUUAUUGGAUUAGGAAAAAUUUAACUUUUAUAAAAUGAA
Long non-coding RNA from Apis mellifera (honey bee), 927 nucleotides. RefSeq lists it as uncharacterized. The record is from RefSeq and is a predicted model, not a curated record. NCBI's taxonomy places the organism in Eukaryota, Metazoa, Arthropoda, Insecta, Hymenoptera, Apidae. The transcript is spliced from 3 exons.